AUGGACAUGACCGGCUCGGACCAGCAAUGGAGCUCCUCUUCCUCGCCGUCGUCGACCUCCUCGCACCCGAAGCGCCCCGCCGGGCGCACCAAGUUCAAGGAGACGCGCCACCCGGUGUACCGCGGCGUGCGGCGCCGGGGCAACGCCGGCCGCUGGGUGUGCGAGGUGCGCGUCCCCGGGCAGCGCGGCGAGCGGCUCUGGCUCGGAACGUACCUCACAGCCGACGCGGCCGCGCGUGCGCACGACGCCGCCAUGCUCGGCCUGCUCGGUCGCUCCGCCGCGUGCCUCAAUUUCGCCGACUCCGCUUGGCUCCUUGCCGUGCCGCCCGCGCUCGCCGACCUCGCGGCCGUCAGGCGCGCGGCCCUCGCCGCCGUGGCGGACUUCCAGCGCCGGCAUGCCCCCAACAGCGCAGCCACCGUCCCCGCUGAUGAGGAGACCUCCGGCGCGUCCGCUCUGUCGUCUGCGGACAAUGCGAGCGGUUCGUCAGCGACGUCGCAACCUUGGGCCGAGGGAACGUUCGAGGUGCCGUCCGCGCUGGGCAGCGACAUGUUCGAGCUGGACUUGUCCGGGGAGAUGGACCUGGGCACGUACUACGCGGACCUCGCGGACGGGCUGCUCCUGGAGCCGCCGCCGUCGCUGGACAGCGGGGCGUGCUGGGACACCGGAGACGGCGGAGCUGACUCCGGGCUCUGGAGCUACUGA
RNAcentral lists this ribosomal RNA (702 nucleotides) under Triticum aestivum (bread wheat). Its description in RNAcentral is "partial small subunit ribosomal RNA". Lineage: Eukaryota; Viridiplantae; Streptophyta; Magnoliopsida; Poales; Poaceae. The record is from RNAcentral.